RNAcentral lists this ribosomal RNA (474 nucleotides) under uncultured bacterium. RNAcentral describes it as "bacterial SSU rRNA". It matches the Rfam family "Bacterial small subunit ribosomal RNA", at positions 38 to 507 of the family's 1533-position model. The record is from RNAcentral.
GGCGGCGUGCUUAACACAUGCAAGUCGAACGGAGUUCCUUGGAUCAAGACUUCGGUCAAGUGAAUUGGAACUUAGUGGCGGACUGGUGAGUAACGCGUGAGGAACCUGCCUUUCAGAGGGGGACAACAGUUGGAAACGACUGCUAAUACCGCAUGAUGCAUUUGGGUCGCAUGGCCUGAAUGCCAAAGUAUUUUAUCGCUGAAAGAUGGCCUCGCGUCUGAUUAGCUAGUUGGUGAGGUAACGGCCCACCAAGGCGACGAUCAGUAGCCGGACUGAGAGGUUGACCGGCCACAUUGGGACUGAGAUACGGCCCAGACUCCUACGGGAGGCAGCAGGUGGGGAAUAUUGCACAAGUCGGGGGAAACCCUGAUGCAGCAACGCCGCGUGAGUGAAGAAGUAUUUCGGUAUGUAAAGCUCUAUCAGCGAGGGAAGAAAAAGACGGUACCUGACUAAGAAGCACCGGCUAAAUACGUG